GUGCUCGCUUCGGCCGCACAUGUACUGGAAUCGAACGGGACAGAGAAGACGAGCAUGGCCCUGCAGGGACGACAUGCAAAUUCGCGAAGCGUUCCAUGUUUUA
Myotis lucifugus (little brown bat) is the source of this 103-nucleotide small nuclear RNA. The record is from Ensembl. Lineage: Eukaryota; Metazoa; Chordata; Mammalia; Chiroptera; Vespertilionidae.